RNAcentral lists this ribosomal RNA (396 nucleotides) under uncultured bacterium. RNAcentral describes it as "bacterial SSU rRNA". It matches the Rfam family "Bacterial small subunit ribosomal RNA", at positions 362 to 775 of the family's 1533-position model. The record is from RNAcentral.
UAUUGCACAAUGGGGGAAACCCUGAUGCAGCGACGCCGCGUGAGUGAAGUAGUAUUUCGGAAUGUAAAGCACUAUCAGCAGGGAAGAAAAUGACGGUACCUGAUCAAGAAGCAUCGGCUAACUACGUGCCAGCAGCCGCGGUAAUACGUAGGGGGCAAGCGUUAUCCGGAUUUACUGGGUGUAAAGGGAGCGUAGACGGUGAUGCAAGUCAGAAGUGAAAGCCCGGGGCUCAACUCCGGGACUGCUGUUGAAACUGUGUGACUGGAGUGCAGGAGAGGUAAGCGGAAUUCCUGGUGUAGCGGUGAAAUGCGUAGAUAUCAGGAGGAACACCAGUGGCGAAGGCGGCUUACUGGACUGUAACUGACGUUGAGGCUCGAAAGCGUGGGGAGCAAACAG